UCGGGAAUUUUGGGCAAUGGGCGAAAGCCUGACCCAGCAACGCCGCGUGAAGGAUGAAGUAUUUCGGUAUGUAAACUUCGAAAGAAUAGGAAGAAUAAAUGACGGUACUAUUUAUAAGGUCCGGCUAACUACGUGCCAGCAGCCGCGGUAAUACGUAGGGACCAAGCGUUGUUCGGAUUUACUGGGCGUAAAGGGCGCGUAGGCGGCAAUUCAAGUCAUCUGUGAAAUCUCCGGGCUUAACUCGGAACGGUCAGAUGAUACUGCUUUGCUAGAGUGCAGAAGGGGCAAUCGGAAUUCUUGGUGUAGCGGUGAAAUGCGUAGAUAUCAAGAGGAACACCUGAGGUGAAGACGGGUUGCUGGGCUGGACACUGACGCUGAGGCGCGAAAGCCAGGGGAGCAAACGGGAUUAGAUACCCCAGUAGUCCCUG
This 428-nucleotide ribosomal RNA is filed under the name uncultured bacterium. Its description in RNAcentral is "bacterial SSU rRNA". It matches the Rfam family "Bacterial small subunit ribosomal RNA", at positions 355 to 799 of the family's 1533-position model. The record is from RNAcentral.